RNAcentral lists this ribosomal RNA (468 nucleotides) under uncultured bacterium. Its description in RNAcentral is "partial 16S ribosomal RNA". It matches the Rfam family "Bacterial small subunit ribosomal RNA", at positions 28 to 507 of the family's 1533-position model. The record is from RNAcentral.
GACGAACGCUGGCGGCGUGCUUAACACAUGCAAGUCGAACGGAAAGGCCCUGCUUUUGUGGGGUGCUCGAGUGGCGAACGGGUGAGUAACACGUGAGUAACCUGCCCUUGACUUUGGGAUAACUUCAGGAAACUGGGGCUAAUACCGGAUAGGAGCUCCUGCUGCAUGGUGGGGGUUGGAAAGUUUCGGCGGUUGGGGAUGGACUCGCGGCUUAUCAGCUUGUUGGUGGGGUAGUGGCUUACCAAGGCUUUGACGGGUAGCCGGCCUGAGAGGGUGACCGGGCGCAGGGGGACUUAGGGAAGGCGCAGACGCCUACUGGAGGCAGCAGGGGGGAAGAUGGAACAAGGGCCGGAAGCGUGAUGCAGCAACGCCGCGUGCGGGAGGACGGGCGUCGGGUGGGAAAAAGCUUUCGCCGGGGACGAAGCGGGGGGGAUGGGAAUGGGUAAAGAAGCAACGGCUAACUACGUG